Molecule: transfer RNA, 84 nt
Filed under: Natronoglycomyces albus
Lineage: Bacteria; Bacillati; Actinomycetota; Actinomycetes; Glycomycetales; Glycomycetaceae
Rfam family: tRNA
About the family: Transfer RNA (tRNA) molecules are approximately 80 nucleotides in length. Their secondary structure includes four short double-helical elements and three loops (D, anti-codon, and T loops). Further hydrogen bonds mediate the characteristic L-shaped molecular structure. tRNAs have two regions of fundamental functional importance: the anti-codon, which is responsible for specific mRNA codon recognition, and the 3' end, to which the tRNAs corresponding amino acid is attached (by aminoacyl-tRNA synthetases). tRNAs cope with the degeneracy of the genetic code in two manners: having more than one tRNA (with a specific anti-codon) for a particular amino acid; and 'wobble' base-pairing, i.e. permitting non-standard base-pairing at the 3rd anti-codon position.
Source: Rfam by way of RNAcentral
GCCCGAGUGGUGGAAUCAGGUAUACACAGCCAGCUUAAAACUGGUGCCAGCGCGGCGUUGCGGGUUCAAAUCCUGCCUCGGGCA